This 645-nucleotide ribosomal RNA is filed under the name uncultured Ascomycota. RNAcentral describes it as "eukaryotic LSU rRNA". The stretch from base 232 to 386 matches the Rfam family "5.8S ribosomal RNA". Lineage: Eukaryota; Fungi; Ascomycota. The record is from RNAcentral.
UCCGUAGGUGAACCUGCGGAAGGAUCAUUACCGAGUUAGGGUUUCGUCCGACGAGCCCGACCUCCCAACCCUUUGUCUAUUAUACCUUGUCGUUGCUUCGGCGGACCGGUCGCGACCAACUGGUCGUGACCGCCGGGGGCCCGCCCCUGGAGAGCGUCCGCCGAUGGCCCAACCACAAAACUCUUGUACCAAACCAUGUCGUCUGAAUUACUUGAUUAAAAUCAAAAACAAAACUUUCAACAACGGAUCUCUUGGUUCUGGCAUCGAUGAAGAACGCAGCGAAAUGCGAUAAGUAAUGCGAAUUGCAGAAUUUCCGUGAGUCAUCGAAUCUUUGAACGCACAUUGCGCCCACUGGUAUUCCGGUGGGCAUGCCUGUUCGAGCGUCAUUAUCCUCCCUCAAACCCCCGGGUUUGGUGUUGGACCCAAGUUGUGUGAACAACUGGUCUUAAAGACAAUGACGGCGUCCGUGGGACCCUCGGUGCAACGAGCUUUUAGGAGCACGCGUCGAGUUUCAAGGACCUUCCGGGCCGGUCUCCUUUACUAUUUUACAAGGUUGACCUCGGAUCAGGUAGGAAUACCCGCUGAACUUAAGCAUAUCAAUAAGCGGAGGAAAAGAAACCAACAGGGAUUGCCCCAGUAACGGCG